RNAcentral lists this ribosomal RNA (204 nucleotides) under uncultured bacterium. RNAcentral's name for it is "partial 16S ribosomal RNA". It matches the Rfam family "Bacterial small subunit ribosomal RNA", at positions 292 to 514 of the family's 1533-position model. The record is from RNAcentral.
CUGAUAGGGUGGACGGCCACAUUGGGACUGAUACACGGCCCAUACUCCUACGGGAGGCAGCAGUGGGGAAUAUUGCACAAUGGGGGAAACCCUGAUGCAGCGACGCCGCGUGAGCGAAGAAGUAUUUCGGUAUGUAAAGCUCUAUCAGCAGGGAAGAAAAUGACGUACCUGACUAAGAAGCCCCGGCUAACUACGUGCCAGCAG